RNAcentral lists this ribosomal RNA (579 nucleotides) under Holtermanniella festucosa. RNAcentral's name for it is "partial large subunit ribosomal RNA". It matches the Rfam family "Eukaryotic large subunit ribosomal RNA", at positions 63 to 630 of the family's 3401-position model. Lineage: Eukaryota; Fungi; Basidiomycota; Tremellomycetes; Holtermanniales. The record is from RNAcentral.
AACUAACAAGGAUUCCCCUAGUAACGGCGAGUGAAGCGGGAUGAGCUCAAAUUUGUAAUCUGGUGGACUCAGUUCAUCCGAGUUGUAAUCUAUAGAAAAGUUUUCCGCGCCGGACCGUGUCUAAGUCCCUUGGAACAGGGUGUCAGAGAGGGUGAGAAUCCCGUGCUUGAUACGACCACCGGUGCUAUGUGAUACUUUUUCAACGAGUCGAGUUGUUUGGGAAUGCAGCUCAAAAUGGGUGGUAAAUUCCAUCUAAAGCUAAAUAUUGGCGAGAGACCGAUAGCGAACAAGUACCGUGAGGGAAAGAUGAAAAGCACUUUGGAAAGAGAGUUAAACAGUACGUGAAAUUGUUAAAAGGGAAACGAUUGAAGUCAGUCGUGCUCUCUGGGACUCAGCCGGUUCUUCCGGUGUAUUUCCCAGUGAGCGGGUCAACAUCAGUUUAGAUCGCUGGAUAAGGUCAUUAGGAAUGUGGCUCCCUCGGGAGUGUUAUAGCCUAGUGUCGCAUACAGUGGUUUAGACUGAGGAACGCAGCUCGCCUUUAUGGCCGGGGUUCGCCCACGUCCGAGCUAGGAUGUGACA